UACAGAGACUGCAAGCGUUAUUCGGAUUCACUGGGCUUAAAGGGCGCGUAGGCGGGCUGUCAAGUUUGGGGUGAAAUCCCGCGGCUCAACCGUGGAACUGCCUCAAAUACUGACGGUCUCGAGGGGGGUAGGGGCGAGCGGAACUGUGAGUGGAGCGGUGAAAUGCGUUGAUAUUCACAGGAACUCCGGUGGCGAAGGCGGCUCGCUGGACCUCUUCUGACGCUGAGGCGCGAAAGCCAGGGGAGCAAACGGG
This 253-nucleotide ribosomal RNA is filed under the name uncultured bacterium. RNAcentral describes it as "partial 16S ribosomal RNA". It matches the Rfam family "Bacterial small subunit ribosomal RNA", at positions 524 to 776 of the family's 1533-position model. The record is from RNAcentral.